CGGUAAUACAGAGGGUGCGAGCGUUAAUCGGAAUUACUGGGCGUAAAGCGCACGUAGGCGGCUUGGCAUGUCGGGUGUGAAAUCCCCGGGCUCAACCUGGGAACUGCAUCCGAAACUGCCUUGCUAGAGUAUGGGAGAGGGAAGUGGAAUUUCCGGUGUAGCGGUGAAAUGCGUAGAUAUCGGAAGGAACAUCAGUGGCGAAGGCGACUUCCUGGACCAAUACUGACGCUCAGGUGCGAAAGCGUGGGGAGCAAACAGGAUUAGAUACCCUGGUAGUCCACGCCCUAAACGAUGACAACUGGAUGUCGGGAGGGUUUGCCUUCCGGUGUCGUAGCUAACGCGUUAAGUUGUCCGCCUGGGAAGUACGGCCGCAAGGUUGAA
Molecule: ribosomal RNA, 381 nt
Filed under: uncultured bacterium
Lineage: Bacteria
Description: bacterial SSU rRNA
Rfam family: Bacterial small subunit ribosomal RNA
Source: RNAcentral